This 301-nucleotide ribosomal RNA is filed under the name uncultured bacterium. Its description in RNAcentral is "partial 16S ribosomal RNA". It matches the Rfam family "Bacterial small subunit ribosomal RNA", at positions 509 to 807 of the family's 1533-position model. The record is from RNAcentral.
CAGUAGCCGCGGUAAUACGAAGGGUGCAAGCGUUACUCGGAAUUACUGGGCGUAAAGCGUGCGUAGGUGGUGGUUUAAGUCCGUUGUGGAAGCCCUGGGCUCAACCUGGGAAUUGCAGUGGAUACUGGGUCACUAGAGUGUGGUAGAGGAUAGUGGAAUUUCCGGUGUAGCAGUGAAAUGCGUAGAGAUCGGAAGGAACAUCUGUGGCGAAGGCGACUAUCUGGGCCAACACUGACACUGAGGCACGAAAGCGUGGGGAGCAAACAGGAUUAGAUACCCCUGUAGUCCCUGUCUCUUAUAC